RNAcentral lists this ribosomal RNA (550 nucleotides) under uncultured Funneliformis. RNAcentral's name for it is "SSU rRNA". It matches the Rfam family "Eukaryotic small subunit ribosomal RNA", at positions 548 to 1098 of the family's 1831-position model. Lineage: Eukaryota; Fungi; Glomeromycota; Glomeromycetes; Glomerales; Glomeraceae. The record is from RNAcentral.
UUGGAGGGCAAGUCUGGUGCCAGCAGCCGCGGUAAUUCCAGCUCCAAUAGCGUAUAUUAAAGUUGUUGCAGUUAAAAAGCUCGUAGUUGAAUUUCGGGAUCAAUGUUUCGGUCAUGCCGUUGGUAUGUACUGAUAUUAUUGAUUUCUCACCUUCUAAAGAACCGUAAUGCCAUUAAUUUGGUGUCACGGGGAAUUAGGACUGUUACCUUGAAAAAAUUAGAGUGUUUAAAGCAGGCUCACGCUUGAAUACAUUAGCAUGGAAUAAUGAAAUAGGACAUCCGAUUCUAUUUUGUUGGUUUCUGGGAUCGAUGUAAUGAUUAAUAGGGAUAGUUGGGGGCAUUAGCAUUCAAUUGUCAGAGGUGAAAUUCUUGGAUUUAUUGAAGACUAACUACUGCGAAAGCAUUUGCCAAGGAUGUUUUCAUUAAUCAAGAACGAAAGUUAGGGGAUCGAAGACGAUCAGAUACCGUCGUAGUCUUAACCAUAAACUAUGCCGACUAGGGAUCGGAUGAUGUUAAUUUUUUAAUGACUCAUUCGGCGCCUUACGGGAAAC